Non-coding RNA from Oncorhynchus mykiss (rainbow trout), 1142 nucleotides. Lineage: Eukaryota; Metazoa; Chordata; Actinopteri; Salmoniformes; Salmonidae. The record is from RefSeq and is a predicted model, not a curated record.
AAGGAAGACAGGUUGGUGGGGAAAGAAGAGUGGCAGGGAGAGGGAGAAUGUGUGGAGGACAAAGGAGAGGAAGACCCAAGAGCGGUGGUCUCUGAUGAGAUAAGGGCCACAAUUAUUGACCAUGUUGUAAACCAUGGUCUCUCUUUGAGAGAGGCAACCAAGUCUGCAACCAAAUCUGCAGCAUUCAACAGUUGCAUCAAUAGUACGAAUUUUCCGGCAAAACAACAGGACUCUGGCAAUUGUCGUUGUGCUGACCGUAUUCACAUUCCCAAAAGUGAUAUUGUCUGCCAGCAACACAAAAUACCCUUUGAGAGAAAUGAGAGAAAUGGUGAACGUGUGAAAGAACUCCAGUAUCAAUAUGUCCAGAGAGUAAUGGAGAUGGAAGCCAGGCAAACUGCACAUCCAUUCAUCUUUGUGGAUGAAGUUGGAUUCAACCUGGCAAAAACACACCCCAGGGGAAGAAAUGUGAUUGGACAGAGAGCAACCGUGGAUGUCCCUGGUCAGAGAGCAACUGUGGAUGUCCCUGGACAGAGAGCAACCCUGGAUGUCCCAGGCCAGAGAGGAGCUAACAUCACAAUGUGUGCAGCACUGUCCAAUGAUGGUUUGUUGUUACACAAACCACUCAUUGGCCCCUACAAUACAGAGGCUCAUUUAUUUUCUGGAUGACAUGCAUAAUCGACUUGUGGAGAGAGGGGCCAGAAACUCCCCUACCUUCGUUGUUGUGUGGGAUAAUGCAGCAUUCCACCACUCUGCUGCAGUCGGACUGGUUUGUUGCACAUCCCAGGAUGUCAGUACUAUUCCUGCCUCCAUACUCCCCCUUCCUAAACCCCUUAGAGGAGUUUUUCUCUGCGUGGAGGUGGAAGGUUUAUAACCACCAUCCAGAUCACCAGAUGUCCUUACUGGAUGCCAUGAAUGUGGGGUGUGGAGACACUUCUCCUGACGACUGCCAGGGUUGGAUUAGACAUUCCAGAAGAUACUUCCCAAGAUGCAUCGCCAGAGAAGACAUAAGAUGUGAUGUUGAUGAGAACUUGUGGCCAAAUGCAUGAGAGAGGGAGAACUAGAACCCACACAGUACUGUCCAGUAUGAGUGAUUAUACUAUACAUGUUGAUGAGAACUAGAACCCACACAGUACUACUGUACA